Molecule: ribosomal RNA, 1361 nt
Filed under: Anaerotignum lactatifermentans
Lineage: Bacteria; Bacillati; Bacillota; Clostridia; Lachnospirales; Anaerotignaceae
Also listed under: 1 other name
Description: bacterial SSU rRNA
Rfam family: Bacterial small subunit ribosomal RNA
Source: RNAcentral
AGAGCUUCGGCAGGAUUUCUAUCUAUCUUAGUGGCGGACGGGUGAGUAACGUGUGGGCAACCUGCCCUGUACUGGGGAAUAAUCAUUGGAAACGAUGACUAAUACCGCAUGUGGUCCUCGGAAGGCAUCUUCUGAGGAAGAAAGGAUUUAUUCGGUACAGGAUGGGCCCGCAUCUGAUUAGCUAGUUGGUGAGAUAACAGCCCACCAAGGCGACGAUCAGUAGCCGACCUGAGAGGGUGAUCGGCCACAUUGGGACUGAGACACGGCCCAAACUCCUACGGGAGGCAGCAGUGGGGAAUAUUGCACAAUGGGCGAAAGCCUGAUGCAGCAACGCCGCGUGAAGGAUGAAGGGUUUCGGCUCGUAAACUUCUAUCAAUAGGGAAGAAAUAAAUGACGGUACCUAAAUAAGAAGCCCCGGCUAACUACGGCCAGCAGCCGCGGUAAUACUAGGGGGCAAGCGUUAUCCGGAAUUACUGGGUGUAAAGGGAGCGUAGGCGGCAUGGUAAGCCAGAUGUGAAAGCCUUGGGCUUAACCCGAGGAUUGCAUUUGGAACUAUCAAGCUAGAGUACAGGAGAGGAAAGCGGAAUUCCUAGUGUAGCGGUGAAAUGCGUAGAUAUUAGGAAGAACACCAGUGGCGAAGGCGGCUUUCUGGACUGAAACUGACGCUGAGCUCGAAAGCGUGGGGAGCAAACAGGAUUAGAUACCCUGGUAGUCCACGCCGUAAACGAUGAGUGCUAGGUGUCGGGGAGGAAUCCUCGGUGCCGCAGCUAACGCAAUAAGCACUCCACCUGGGGAGUACGACCGCGAGGUUGAAACUCAAAGGAAUUGACGGGGGCCCGCACAAGCGGUGGAGCAUGUGGUUUAAUUCGAAGCAACGCGAAGAACCUUACCAAGGCUUGACAUCCCGAUGACCGCUCUAGAGAUAGAGCUUCUCUUCGUAGCAUCGGUGACCGGGGGUGCAUGGGAGUCGUCAGCUCGUGUCGUGAGAUGUUGGGUUAAGUCCCGCAACGAGCGCAACCCUUAUCUUCAGUAGCCAUCAUUCAGUUGGGCACUCUGGAGAGACUGCCGUGGAUAACACGGAGGAAGGUGGGGAUGACGUCAAAUCAUCAUGCCCCUUAUGUCUUGGGCUACACACGUGCUACAAUGGCUGGUAACAAAGUGACGCAAGACGGCGACGUUAAGCAAAUCACAAAAACCCAGUCCCAGUUCGGAUUGUAGUCUGCAACUCGACUACAUGAAGCUGGAAUCGCUAGUAAUCGCGAAUCAGCAUGUCGCGGUGAAUACGUUCCCGGGCCUUGUACACACCGCCCGUCACACCAUGGGAGUUGGAAGCACCCGAAGUCGGUGACCUAACCGUAAGG